Molecule: ribosomal RNA, 292 nt
Filed under: uncultured eukaryote
Lineage: Eukaryota
Description: partial 18S ribosomal RNA
Rfam family: Eukaryotic small subunit ribosomal RNA
Source: RNAcentral
GGUUGAUCCUGCCAGUAGUCAUAUGCUUGUUUUAAAGAUUAAGCCAUGCAUGUGUAAGUAUAGAGCAUUCUAGCUUGAAACUGCGAACGGCUCAUUAAAUCAGUUAUAAUCUACUUGAUUGUAUUUUUACUAUUAGGAUACCCUUAGUAAUUCUAUGGCUAAUACUUGCAAAAACUCAUGACUAGAAAUGGAAAUGAGGUAUUUAUUAGGUCCAAAAUCAAUGGUUUUCUUUUCGGAGAGAAUCUUAUAAAAUGAUGAUUCAUAAUAACUAGACGAAGCGCAAAGUAAGCAA